Molecule: ribosomal RNA, 146 nt
Filed under: uncultured Bacillota bacterium
Lineage: Bacteria; Bacillati; Bacillota
Description: uncultured Firmicutes bacterium partial 16S ribosomal RNA
Rfam family: Bacterial small subunit ribosomal RNA
Source: RNAcentral
AAAGAGAUGCGAAGCCGCGAGGUGGAGCGAACCUCAUAAAAAUGGUCUCAGUUCGGGAUUGGAGUCUGCCAACUCGACUCCAUGAAGUCGGAAUCGCUAGUAAUCGCGGGUCAGCAGACCGCGGUGAAUACCGGUUCCCGGGUUUU